Long non-coding RNA from Triticum aestivum (bread wheat), 545 nucleotides. RefSeq lists it as uncharacterized. NCBI's taxonomy places the organism in Eukaryota, Viridiplantae, Streptophyta, Magnoliopsida, Poales, Poaceae. The record is from RefSeq and is a predicted model, not a curated record. The transcript has 3 exons.
GUCCUUUGAUUGGUCUAUUCUGCGUCAAAGGUCCCGUUCAUCUCUGGCAAAUUCUGUUGCAGCCUCAAUUGUACAUGUGCUUCAAUCUAUUUUCAUGUUGUUUUCUUGGGCCUUAGUGUUUUGUUUCUUGGGUGUUUGAUGAACGCUUCACAAAUUAAGCUCCUCUUAACAAUUUCAUAGGUGUCGGUUGGCCUGCAGCUCGUGUGGUUGGAGGUGCUUGUGCGAGACGAAACUUGGUGUUGACAAGGAGGCCUAACUAUGAUGCCCGUGCAAUUGAAAAUGUUUGCAAGCCAGCCUAUGAUGUCUGGUUGGAGGCCUACUUAUGAUGUCAGGUUCCGCUGAUUCUGGAAGCACACGGCCGAAUGGAAUCCAACAGAACCAAUGCUGCAUCAGGAUGCACUGUUGAAGCAUUUUGAUUGGCCCGAGAGAAAUGAGGACACUGUGUCAGACAACCUUUUGCUUACUAACCUCGAAAUAUUUGAAGUGUAAGUUUCUAACCACAAAAAUGAUCUCAUAACCUUGCUUGUCACAUUGCACCUAUGAUA